Molecule: long non-coding RNA, 409 nt
Organism: Amphimedon queenslandica
Lineage: Eukaryota; Metazoa; Porifera; Demospongiae; Haplosclerida; Niphatidae
Exons: 2
Source: RefSeq, a predicted model, not a curated record
UUACAGUACACAAACAUGUUAUUGUUUUGAGUUAUUAUCAUGGCUUGUGACAAGUAAAGACUUUAUCUACUUAAUAGAAACUGUAUAAUUUCAGUGUCAAAAAUAACAAUAAAUGGCAUUGUCAGUAUCAGGAGUGAUUGUUGAGUGUCAGUGAAGUUAUUAGUGAAUGUCCGCCUUCCUCAGACAGCAGUAUCAGACCAACUCCUUUAGAGUGUGUAUUACCUGGUGCUACUCUGAAUGGUAGGCAAUGGAUUGGUCCUAAUGGAGCAACUUGAACAAUCUGCCCCUGUCCCUGUAAAGGUUGUAGGCAUAGAUUUUUAAUGUGAUGAUGUCCAUGUAUUAAUCCUUUGGCUGGCAGGCAUCCAGCUGUGAUGUCAAUGUAAUAUAACUGACUUUGUAUCUAUUACCA